CCUGCCCCUCGCCCCAGCAGCCGAAGCCUCAGUUCCAGUGCAGAAACAAAAUAAACCAUGAGAGGAAGUGCGGUUAAAAACACCCGGGACAUCAAGUUCUCAACAGCCUCGCUGGCUUUGUGCUGCGGCGCUCUAAGGGAAGGAUGGUGUGAGUAACCUGUGGGAACGGGGCGUGCUGCAGCAAGCAAGCGUUUCGCGCCGCGCUGCCAGGCCCCACCUGGCAUUGACGCAGAGAGCAUCGUCGCUGACACACAGAACGAGCUUCUCCCUCCGGGCGAGCCUCCCUCCUGCCAAGGGGCCCACGGGGACCACUACAAAGCUCAAUGCGCCCUUCUUCCUUCCUGCCUCUGCUCACAGUGCCCCAGGGCUCUCUUAGCUCUUGAAGCCGCGCUGCGGGUGCUGUGGGCAAGGCUGGCAUAGGGCGGUGGGGACCCUGCGACGACCCGUGGUCGCUCCCAGACAUCUACGACACCUGUAUGUGCGGGGGUCAGACUGAGCUGGGAUUUAUCCUACAAAGGCAUUUCUUUGUCCCCUGAGGCACGGAGCAGCAGAACUCGUGAAACGCCGAGCCAGGGAGAAGUCGGACAAUUACUCAGAUGUCACCAGGCUCUCACAUUACAGAUGGGCGUAGGCAAGGAACCACAGUGACGCUUUGCCGAGUGCCUGCAGCUAACAUGAUCUCCAACGUGCAGGUCAAGAAUGCAUUUCCCACAAGAGAAAACUGGCAGGGACUAUGACAUUUUUUCCUCAUUUUAAAAGCAGAAGCAAGGACCAGAACAAGAUGAGGUGGGAGUAUCUAUAUCAUAGGUUCCCAGUAAUCUCUGUCUAUUACUUUACUUUCACGGAGACCCUAGACACAAGGCUUCUCUGUGGAGACAGUCAACAAGUGCUCAAUUGGUGGCAAUUGUCAUGGGGAGCUUGUGAUGUGGAUACUCAGACCAUCAACAUAUUUCACAAGAGCCACUGAAAGGCCUUUCCUCUUCAGGUACAAGCAAGGCAAGCAGUGGUGGCUCCCACGUAUGACUGCUCAAGAAAUCCCUUUACAGCCAAUAGAGCAAGAGCUUCAAGAAAUAGCUUUGUUGGCAUUUGUUCCAUAUAGCCUAAUCUCCUUAGGGGCUGUGGCUACCAUCCCAAACAACAUUUCUAUGGCCUGCGUGGCUACAUCCUUUUCCUGUGAAUCAACAUUGGCAUCUGCUCAUCCAGCGCAUUCAGGAGAAAUAUUUGCUGUUGCCUGGAGACUAAAACAGGAGAAAAAGUAUCAGGAGUCCUAA
This 1271-nucleotide long non-coding RNA is filed under the name Struthio camelus australis. Its description in RNAcentral is "lncRNA (ENSSCUG00000003312.1)". Lineage: Eukaryota; Metazoa; Chordata; Aves; Struthioniformes; Struthionidae. The record is from RNAcentral.